This 1272-nucleotide long non-coding RNA is filed under the name Manihot esculenta (cassava). RNAcentral describes it as "long non-coding RNA (MESC_LNC001559)". Lineage: Eukaryota; Viridiplantae; Streptophyta; Magnoliopsida; Malpighiales; Euphorbiaceae. The record is from RNAcentral.
AAGCUUAUUCUUGCACAAAGUAGUUCUCUCCUGUACCACAUUAGCUGCUGCCCAUAUCUUUCCUGCAUCAAUGCUAAUAGUAAUAAGUGGCUUGUAGGACUUGUUUAUGAUGUUGAAACAAUCUUCUAGAAAUAAUAAAAACCUCAGAGUUUAAUCACAUAGUGCCUGCGCAUUGUAGUGGAUUUUUUCUACAUAGGUCGAAAUAAUUGUUUCUUAUGUACAGAAAAUGUGAAAGAACUCAUUUGUUAGCACCUCUCUAUACAAUCCAUAGAGGAGCUUUCUAUACAAAAAAAAACAUGUCAGUGUUCUUAGAUUCACUGCUUCAUUUUGGCUUUAUUUUCCUCGCAUGAUGGUCUACACAUUGUUAGCUCACCUCUAAACUUUAUUGAAAAAAAGUACGGUGGCAUUCGAAUUUUUUAGAACAUCCCAUCUCACUGCUCAACUCCAUAAAAGAAAGUGAAAUUCAGUAAAACUUAUUAUUUCUGUAACGUUCAGCCGUGUGCUUCCAGUGCGGAAAUCCUUAGGACAUCGGAAGAUGAUUAAAAAUUGGAAUAGUAUAUAAUAUUCGGUACGAAAUUACUAAAUAACUUGAAACUUGAAUUAAUUAUUUUAGAUCAAGUGAAGUGAAAAAAGAAAGGAAAAGAGGGAAAAAGAAAAAAGCAAUGCUACGCGUAUGAAAAUUAAACGGGAAAAUCCACAAUUGCCUAAGGCUUCUCUGUACUUUUUUUUAAUCAUCAUCAACAACACAAAAUCUAAAUUUAUCAAGCUCGAGAACACAAUCAAAAUUCAAUGUUUAAACCAAUUAAAAUUCUCCAUAAUCACAUUAUCGAUAUAUAUACACAACUGUAAAUUUGCUAAAAUGAAAGGAAUAAUAUAAACUAUUGAUCAAAAGCACCUGUAUUUGUUGAUCUAUCUCUGUCUUCAUACCUGUCAUGGUAUGGCAGUAUGUAUUGAAGCUCAAUGAAAAGAAAAACAAGAGAUGAAGAAUGCAUCUGCCUUCUUCGGAUCCAAAACCCUACCUAUUUACUGCUUCCUCAUUCCCAAAUUCUUGGGCGACUGCGACAAAUUCUCUCUUGUAUCAUCUUGUUCUCGCGUCGCGCGUCGUCUAAGCAGAAACUAUUGGUCUUUGUUAAUUGUCAUAGGCUAUAAUGGUGGUUCGAUAUAUGCAAAAAGGAGAGGACAAAGAGAAUUGUCCCUCGGGGGAAGGUAAGGAGAGGAAAGAUUCUUGGAAGAGUAUUUUGAGGCUUUGUAUUUGCGGAUGUAGGAUCUUAC